GGAUGUAAGGGUGAUCUGUCCCCCCAUGGAUCCCCGGGCUGAUUCUGCUGACCUGGCUGCCUGCGCAGGAGUCCCCUCCCUCCCUCAGCACUCCAUGUGUGUCCCUCCUGAAGCUGCAUGCCCAAGGAAGGCACCCCCCCAAGGAGGAGGACCAUCGCUCAGAAGUACUGUGCCCCUGCUAGAAACUCCGAGCAAGCCUGCAGCCAGAGACAUCCCUGGUGCUCUAUGGUCAUGUCCCAGGGCAGGGGUGGAGAAACAUCAGGGCUCAGCCCCACCACCACCAGGGCUCUGGGAAGAAAGCCUUCUUUU
Cavia porcellus (domestic guinea pig) is the source of this 309-nucleotide unclassified non-coding RNA. Its record names the gene 7SK. It matches the Rfam family "7SK RNA". Rfam says of the family: 7SK was discovered as an abundant small nuclear RNA in the mid-70s but a possible function has only recently been suggested. Two independent studies have found that 7SK RNA binds the CDK9/cyclin T complex (known as elongation factor P-TEFb). The record is from Ensembl. NCBI's taxonomy places the organism in Eukaryota, Metazoa, Chordata, Mammalia, Rodentia, Caviidae.